This 397-nucleotide ribosomal RNA is filed under the name uncultured bacterium. RNAcentral describes it as "partial 16S ribosomal RNA". It matches the Rfam family "Bacterial small subunit ribosomal RNA", at positions 523 to 918 of the family's 1533-position model. The record is from RNAcentral.
AUACGUAGGGGGCGAGCGUUGUCCGGAAUGAUUGGGCGUAAAGGGCGCGUAGGCGGCCCGGUAAGUCUGGAGUGAAAGUCCUGUUUUUAAGAUGGGAAUUGCUUUGGAUACUGUCGGGCUUGAGUGCAGGAGAGGUAAGUGGAAUUCCCAGUGUAGCGGUGAAAUGCGUAGAGAUUGGGAGGAACACCAGUGGCGAAGGCGACUUACUGGACUGCAACUGACGCUGAGGCGCGAAAGUGUGGGGAGCAAACAGGAUUAGAUACCCUGGUAGUCCACACCGUAAACGAUGAAUGCUAGGUGUAGGGGGUAUCGACCCCUUCUGUGCCGCAGUCAACACAAUAAGCAUUCCGCCUGGGGAGUACGGCCGCAAGGUUGAAACUCAAAGGAAUUGACGGGG